This is a small nuclear RNA of Lontra canadensis (Northern American river otter), 108 nucleotides long. NCBI's taxonomy places the organism in Eukaryota, Metazoa, Chordata, Mammalia, Carnivora, Mustelidae. The record is from RefSeq and is a predicted model, not a curated record.
GUGUUCGCUUUGGCAGCACGCAUUCCAAAACUGGAAUGAUGCAGAGAAGAUUAGCUCAGCCCCUGUGCAGGGAUGGUACACCUAUUCACACACACACACACACACACA